AUUGAACGCUGGCGGCAGUCCUAACACAUGCAAGUCGAGCGGAUGAAGGGAGCUUGCUCCUGGAUUCAGCGGCGGACGGGUGAGUAAUGCCUAGGAAUCUGCCUGGUAGUGGGGGAUAACGUCCGGAAACGGGCGCUAAUACCGCAUACGUCCUGAGGGAGCAAGUGGGGGAUCUUCGGACCUCACGCUAUCAGAUGAGCCUAGGUCGGAUUAGCUAGUUGGUGGGGUAAAGGCCUACCAAGGCGACGAUCCGUAACUGGUCUGAGAGGGUGAUCAGUCACACUGGAACUGAGACACGGUCCAGACUCCUAUGGGAGGCAGCAGUGGGGAAUAUUGGACAAUGGGCGAAAGCCUGAUCCAGCCAUGCCGCGUGUGUGAAGAAGGUCUUCGGAUUGUAAAGCACUUUAAGUUGGGAGGAAGGGCAGUAAGUUAAUACCUUGCUGUUUUGACGUUACCAACAGAAUAAGCACCGGCUAACUUCGUG
RNAcentral lists this ribosomal RNA (484 nucleotides) under uncultured bacterium. Its description in RNAcentral is "partial 16S ribosomal RNA". It matches the Rfam family "Bacterial small subunit ribosomal RNA", at positions 30 to 507 of the family's 1533-position model. The record is from RNAcentral.